AGUAAAUAGAUACCCGGGUAGUCCACGCCCUAAACGAUGUCAACUAGGUGUUGGGAGCGCAAGUUCUCAGUACCGCAGCUAAACGCGUGAAGUUGACCGCCUGGGGAGUACGGUCGCAAGAUUAAAACUCAAAGGAAUUGACGGGGACCCGCACAAGCGGUGGAUGAUGUGGAUUAAAUUCGAUGCAACGCGAACAAUCUUACCUACCCUUGACAUGUCUGGAACCCUGCUGAAAGGCGGGGGUUGCCCGAAAGGGAACCGGAACACAGGUGCUGCAUGGCUGUCGUCAGCUCGUGUCGUGAGAUGUUGGGUUAAGUCCCGCAACGAGCGCAACCCUUGUCCUUAGUUGCUACGCAAGGGCACUCUAAGGAGACUGCCGGUGACAAACCGGAGGAAGGUGGGGUAUGACGUCAAGUCCUCAUGGCCCUUAUGGGUAGGGCUUCACACGUCAUACAAUGGUCGGUACAGAGGGUAGCCAACCCGCGAGGGGUAGCCAAUCCCAGAAAGCCGAUCGUAGUCCGGAUCGCAGUCUGCAACUCGACUGCGUGAA
This 550-nucleotide ribosomal RNA is filed under the name uncultured bacterium. RNAcentral describes it as "bacterial SSU rRNA". It matches the Rfam family "Bacterial small subunit ribosomal RNA", at positions 775 to 1324 of the family's 1533-position model. The record is from RNAcentral.